RNAcentral lists this ribosomal RNA (496 nucleotides) under uncultured bacterium. RNAcentral describes it as "partial 16S ribosomal RNA". It matches the Rfam family "Bacterial small subunit ribosomal RNA", at positions 28 to 506 of the family's 1533-position model. The record is from RNAcentral.
GAUGAACGCUGGCGGCGUGCCUAAUACAUGCAAGUCGAGCGAACGGACGAGAAGCUUGCUUUUCUGAUGUUAGCGGCGGACGGGUGAGUAACACGUGGAUAACCUACCUAUAAGACUGGGAUAACUUCGGGAAACGGGGGCUAAUACCGGAUAAUAUUUUGAGCCGCAGGGUUCAAAAGGGAAGGAGGGUCUGGCGGUCCCUUAUGGAGGGAUCCGCGCUGCAUUAGCUAGUUGGUAAGGUAACGGCUUACAAAGGCAACGAUGCAUAGCCGACCGGAGAGGGUGAUCGGCCACACUGGACCUGAGACCCGGUCCAGACUCCUACGGGAGGCAGCAGUAGGGAAUCUUCCGCAAUGGGCGAAAGCCUGACGGAGCAACGCCGCGUGAGUGAUGAAGGUCUUCGGAUCGUAAAACUCUGUUAUUAGGGAAGAACAUAUGUGUAAGUAACUGUGCACAUCUUGACGGUACCUAAUCAGAAAGCCACGGCUAACUACGU